This 349-nucleotide RNase P RNA is filed under the name bacterium. RNAcentral's name for it is "RNase P RNA component class A". It matches the Rfam family "Bacterial RNase P class A". Rfam says of the family: Ribonuclease P (RNase P) is a ubiquitous endoribonuclease, found in archaea, bacteria and eukarya as well as chloroplasts and mitochondria. Its best characterised activity is the generation of mature 5'-ends of tRNAs by cleaving the 5'-leader elements of precursor-tRNAs. The record is from RNAcentral.
UAGAGAAGGAUCGCUAAUCGCUGGGAAAAUAUUUCCCAGAGGAAAGUCCGGGCACCCAUAUUGAAGGAAACUCCGAAAAGGAGUUAGAGCUAAAGCUCUAGAAGAAAGCACAGAGACUAUACUAUCCAGGUAAUUACCUGGAGGAAAGGUGAAAAGAUGGAGGGUGUCAAAAGAACCUUCUUUUGGCUACCUCCAUACCUUAUGAAGCAAUUCAUAAGGUUGUUUUCUUCUUCCUGGGUGCAAGGCCGUGCCCAGUUUAAACUGGGAGUGCCGCAUGAGCCUCUUGGCAACAAGAGGCCUAGACAGAUGAUUAGCCAAACAGAACCCGGCUUAUGAUCCUUCCUAUUUU